This 1587-nucleotide long non-coding RNA is filed under the name Parus major (Great Tit). RNAcentral's name for it is "lncRNA (ENSPMJG00000007451.1)". Lineage: Eukaryota; Metazoa; Chordata; Aves; Passeriformes; Paridae. The record is from RNAcentral.
CUCUUCAAAUUCUACAACAAAUUGUGAGGACAAUGAGAGCAGUGUGCCAGUUGAUCCAAGUGUGGUCUUUGUACCAUUUGGGCAUAUGGGAAUCAUUCUGGAGUUUGCCUGCUAGCACUCCUCUGUACAUCAGUAAAAGAACUAGUCAAUGCUAAAGAAAACCCAGAGCAGAGCAAACUUAGGGUCUGGCUCCAUCUUAUGCUGGAAUCUGGAGUUUUAAAGCAGCUAGAAGCAGAUCCUCAAAGAUAUUUAGCUCUUUAAAACAAGUGGAAAUCAGGCCACGCUUACCUGUAAAGCUUUGCUGUUUUGGGAAUUCCCAGAAGCACUUAAGUACCAAUUUUUUCCUAAGAAAGCUUUGAACUUGGGGGAUUGAGCAUUGCUUUCAGGUACCUAUCUACGUGCUUGGGUAUCUACAUAUCACCAGGAUUCCUGCCUGUGGAGGGAUGACAUCAUUGAAUCACAACAGAGCAAGCUAUCUGUGGUGUGGUGCUAUAAAUGCUGUACUCUGCUGGAGCUUACACCCCUGGUAGGACCAACCCUGAAAAAAGUAUUUUCCUCCAGGGUAAGUAAAGUUUUUCAACCCAUAGUGGUAUGUGGGAUCUCAUGCAGCUGGUUUGCACUUCAUAUUCAUUAGCCAAGAGCUGAAUGUGUUGGUUGUAUGAGGAGAGGUUUUUUUCCUUAGACUUGUGUUCAAAGUAAUGUGGUGGUCAUACUGGUCAUAUUUGCUUUCCUUCUGUGAAGCUACUUCACAUUUCUUCUAAAUGGAGACAGGCAGCCUUGGAUCCAAUUUACUUCACCCAUGAUCCUUCUUGUCACACCCAUCAAAGAAGUCUCUUUUGUGCCAGGCUGACAGGUUUGCAGUCCUCCUGAUCAAUUUCUGUUCCUAUGACCUGGUUGCCACUGCCAAGCUUGUGUUCUAUUUAUUUUGCUUAAAAUUACUCAUUCAGCUGUUAGGAGUAUACAUCUGUAGCUUGGACCUUCACAAAUAGAGCCAGUGUAAGAGUUUCCAUGGAAUUGAACACCAUGUUGAUAGAGCAACAGUGUCUGCUGUCCAUUCUCUAUCAAACUUUAUCCACUAUCUGUUAAUCCAGAAGAAGAUCUUGGUGUUUUUCUAUUUAAUGUUUCCCUCUUCUCUGUUUUAAAAAAAUUCUAGUAAUUUUAGUAAAUGAUGGCAUAAUGACAGGUGGAAAACUAUUCCAGUUAAACCUACAGAGGUCCGUAGGCAAAUGGGUCAUCAUGGCUUAUUCUGAAGGAAUUCCUUAGAGGGUAAACAAACCAGUUUAAAACUAAGAAGUGAUUUAUUUUUUUUUUUUCCUUUCAAAUGUUGAACAGAAAUACAGAAAGCUAUGAUAGAAAGCUGUAUUUUAGAUGUUAAAUUAUGCUAGUCCUUUAUCAUUUAUGCAUAUAAGAUUAGUACAUUUUAUGCUAACCUGAAGCAUGGCUAACAGGUCAGAAUAGAUUGGAUUCCUAGCUUGAAAAGUGAAAAUGUAAACCACUUAGGAUAAAAUAGCUUUUCUUUAUAUGAGUUGUAGGAGCAGCUCUGGUUGCAAGGGAGACCUUUUUUCCUCGUCCCUGUUCCCACACACC